Molecule: ribosomal RNA, 508 nt
Filed under: uncultured bacterium
Lineage: Bacteria
Description: bacterial SSU rRNA
Rfam family: Bacterial small subunit ribosomal RNA
Source: RNAcentral
AGCAGUAAGGAAUAUUGGUCAAUGGACGCAAGUCUGAACCAGCCAUGCCGCGUGGAGGAUGAAGGUCCUCUGGAUUGUAAACUUCUUUUAUCUGGGACGAAAAAAGGCUUUUCUAAGUCGACUGACGGUACCAGAUGAAUAAGCACCGGCUAACUCCGUGCCAGCAGCCGCGGUAAUACGGAGGGUGCAAGCGUUAUCCGGAUUCACUGGGUUUAAAGGGUGCGUAGGCGGGUAUGUAAGUCCGUGGUGAAAUCUCCGAGCUUAACUCGGAAACUGCCAUGGGUACUGCGUAUCUUGAAUGUUGUGGAGGUGAGCGGAAUAUGUCAUGUAGCGGUGAAAUGCUUAGAUAUGACAUAGAACACCAAUUGCGAAGGCAGCUCACUACACAAAUAUUGACGCUGAGGCACGAAAGCGUGGGGAUCAAACAGGAUUAGAUACCCUGGUAGUCCACGCCCUAAACGAUGAUUACUCGACAUACGUGAUACACAAUGUGUGUCUGAGCGAAAGC